UAAGGAAUAUUGGUCAAUGGACGCAAGUCUGAACCAGCCAUGCCGCGUGAAGGAUGAAGGUCCUCUGGAUUGUAAACUUCUUUUAUCUGGGACGAAAACGGGAUUUUUAUCUCAAUUGACGGUACCAGAGGAAUAAGCACCGGCUAACUCCGUGCCAGCAGCCGCGGUAAUACGGAGGGUGCGAGCGUUAUCCGGAUUUACUGGGUUUAAAGGGUGCGUAGGUGGGCUUAUAAGUCAGUGGUGAAAUCUCCGAGCUUAACUCGGAAACUGCCGUUGAUACUGUUUGUCUUGAAUAUUGUGGAGGUAAGCGGAAUAUGUCAUGUAGCGGUGAAAUGCUUAGAUAUGACAUAGAACACCAAUUGCGAAGGCAGCUUACUACACAAUCAUUGACGCUGAGGCACGAAAGCGUGGGGAUCAAACA
Molecule: ribosomal RNA, 421 nt
Filed under: uncultured bacterium
Lineage: Bacteria
Description: bacterial SSU rRNA
Rfam family: Bacterial small subunit ribosomal RNA
Source: RNAcentral